RNAcentral lists this unclassified non-coding RNA (342 nucleotides) under soil metagenome. RNAcentral's name for it is "partial contains 5.8S ribosomal RNA, internal transcribed spacer 2, and large subunit ribosomal RNA". The stretch from base 1 to 120 matches the Rfam family "5.8S ribosomal RNA", at positions 35 to 154 of the family's 154-position model. The record is from RNAcentral.
GAUGAAGAACGCAGUGAAAUGCGAUAAGUAAUGUGAAUUGCAGAAUUCAGUGAAUCAUCGAAUCUUUGAACGCACAUUGCGCCCGCCAGCACUCUGGCGGGCAUGCCUGUUCGAGCGUCAUUUCAACCAUCAAGCCCCCAGGGGCUUGUGCUGGGGCCCUGCGGCUGCCCGCAGGCCCUGAAAACCAGUGGCGGGCUCGCUAGUCACACCGAGCGCAGUAGCACAUCUCGCUCAGGGCGUGCGGCGGGCUCCUGCCGUGAAACCCCCCACUGUAACCCCAAAGGUUGACCUCGGAUCAGGUAGGAAUACCCGCUGAACUUAAGCAUAUCAAUAAGCGGAGGA